This is a long non-coding RNA of Hemicordylus capensis (graceful crag lizard), 279 nucleotides long. RefSeq lists it as uncharacterized. The record is from RefSeq and is a predicted model, not a curated record. NCBI's taxonomy places the organism in Eukaryota, Metazoa, Chordata, Lepidosauria, Squamata, Cordylidae. The transcript has 2 exons.
GGAGGGUUGAACAGCCAGAAGGAGGAGAGCUGUGAGAUGGAAGAGUUCUGUGAUCAAGAGUGCUGCUGAGUGUUGUGUGAGCUGGAAGGGCAUGCAUCUAAUUAGCCAACUAGAAGAGGCAAAGGUGAAAGGGAAGAUCGUUUUAUGUCAAAUUAGAUAUUCUGCUCCUUAGUCAUGAUGCAAUUUGAAGAUCUUCAGAGGAAAAGGUCAUGAGCAACUUUAUAAAUUACAUCACCAAUUCAGAGGACAGAAACACAAAAUAAUGCUUCAAUAACCCAA